UACGUAGGGUCCGAGCGUUGUCCGGAAUUACUGGGCGUAAAGAGCUCGUAGGCGGUUUGUCGCGUCUGCUGUGAAAACGCGAGGCUCAACCUCGCGCCUGCAGUGGGUACGGGCAGACUAGAGUGCGGUAGGGGAGAUUGGAAUUCCUGGUGUAGCGGUGGAAUGCGCAGAUAUCAGGAGGAACACCGAUGGCGAAGGCAGAUCUCUGGGCCGUAACUGACGCUGAGGAGCGAAAGCGUGGGGAGCGAACAGG
RNAcentral lists this ribosomal RNA (253 nucleotides) under uncultured bacterium. RNAcentral's name for it is "partial 16S ribosomal RNA". It matches the Rfam family "Bacterial small subunit ribosomal RNA", at positions 524 to 776 of the family's 1533-position model. The record is from RNAcentral.